UACGGAGGGUGCGAGCGUUGUCCGGAAUCAUUGGGCGUAAAGGGCGCGUAGGUGGCCCGGUCAGUUCGUGGUGAAAGCGCGGGGCUCAACUCCGCGUCGGCCAUGAAUACUGCUGGGCUGGAGCACUGUAGAGGCAGGCGGAAUUCCGGGUGUAGCGGUGGAAUGCGUAGAGAUCCGGAAGAACACCGGUGGCGAAGGCGGCCUGCUGGGCAGUUGCUGGACACUGAGGCGCGACAGCGUGGGGAGCAACAGG
Molecule: ribosomal RNA, 253 nt
Filed under: uncultured bacterium
Lineage: Bacteria
Description: partial 16S ribosomal RNA
Rfam family: Bacterial small subunit ribosomal RNA
Source: RNAcentral